GUCAGGUAGCUGUCAGCUGUGACCUUUUGCCACUUGUGUUGUCCAUUCACUCUAUUGACUACAAUACACUCAAAACCAAUUUGGCAAAUUAGUGGAAUAAAAAAGCCAUCAAGGUUAUCAAAGACAGGUGGCAGUUUUGUCAGGUGCUCAUAGAGAAUCAUGAGGAAGUACUGCCUGGUUUGCCUGCAGUUCUGCUCUGUGCCUAGAGACUGGCCCAGAUGGACAGCUGCUGGGACUGCUCCUCUGCCUGCUACUGCAGGAGGGAGGACCACUGAAUUCAAUGCAUGUUAUACGCCUUAGGGCUGUUGAAGAUCCCAAUGGAGAAAUAGCAUCUUUGAGAGAUGACACCAUGCUGCCUGGUUCUAAGGAAGUUCCAAAAAUACCUUCUUCUCUUCAGGGAAUGAAACAAAUAACCCUUACCUCAGAGCUGCCUACACUGACAUCUCCUAAUUACCUGGGCACUUCAGCAUCCUGUACUGAAAAUCCAAAUUUUUGAAUAUGGAUUUUACCAAAGUGCAUCACAAAACCAUCUCUGCACCAUACUUGUACCCAAUAUUAAAAAAAAAAAAGGGAGUUUUACAAAGAUACAUUUAAAAAAAUGUUUUUGAAAACUAAAGAUACCAGUAGUUAGAGCUAGUCCAAUCCACAAAUACAGGUCAGUUUUCACAUGCUCUGAAUUAUUCAAAAUUAAUUGUUCCCAAAGGUGUAUUUUGUGCAAUAAGGUCAGUAAAAAGGUGGCUA
RNAcentral lists this long non-coding RNA (741 nucleotides) under Anser brachyrhynchus (Pink-footed goose). RNAcentral describes it as "lncRNA (ENSABRG00000019550.1)". The record is from RNAcentral. Lineage: Eukaryota; Metazoa; Chordata; Aves; Anseriformes; Anatidae.